AUACAGAGUAACAUGGUUAUUUGGUUUCUUGUGCUCUUUUCUCUUCUCUUUAGAAAAGAGAGCCUAGAAAAUAAAAAGAACAACAAACCAGAAGUCAACCAGAUAGCCAACAGUGACAACAAGGUUACAAUUGAUGACUAUAGAGAAGAGGAUGAAGACAAGGACCCCUACCCGCCUUGCGAUGUGCCAGGAUCCGCGUAGGCUGCCACAAGCUCAUCAACCACCACAUCUUCACCAACCUCAUCCUCGUCUUCAUCAUGCUGAGCAGCGCUGCCCUGGCCGCAGAGGACCCCAUCCGCAGCCACUCCUUCCGGAACACAAUACUGGGUUACUUUGACUAUGCCUUCACAGCCAUCUUUACUGUUGAGAUCCUGUUGAAGAUGACAACUUUUGGAGCUUUCCUCCACAAAGGGGCCUUCUGCAGGAACUACUUCAAUUUGCUGGAUAUGCUGGUGGUUGGGGUGUCUCUGGUGUCAUUUGGGAUUCAAUCCAGUGCCAUCUCCGUUGUGAAGAUUCUGAGGGUCUUAAGGGUCCUGCGGCCCCUCAGGGCCAUCAACAGAGCAAAAGGACUUAAGCACGUGGUCCAGUGCGUCUUCGUGGCCAUCCGGACCAUCGGCAACAUCAUGAUCGUCACCACCCUCCUCCAGUUCAUGUUUGCCUGUAUCGGGGUCCAGUUGUUCAAGGGGAAGUUUUAUCGCUGUACAGAUGAA
RNAcentral lists this small RNA (710 nucleotides) under Pongo abelii (Sumatran orangutan). Its description in RNAcentral is "retained intron". The record is from RNAcentral. Lineage: Eukaryota; Metazoa; Chordata; Mammalia; Primates; Hominidae.